GACGAACGCUGGCGGCGUGCUUAACACAUGCAAGUCGAACGGAAAGGCCCUGCUUUUGUGGGGUGCUCGAGUGGCGAACGGGUGAGUAACACGUGAGUAACCUGCCCUUGACUUUGGGAUAACUUCAGGAAACUGGGGCUAAUACCGGAUAGGAGCUCCUGCUGCAUGGUGGGGGUUGGAAAGUUUCGGCGGUUGGGGAUGGACUCGCGGCUUAUCAGCUUGUUGGUGGGGUAGUGGCUUACCAAGGCUUUGACGGGUAGCCGGCCUGGGAGGGUGACCGGGCACAUUGGGACUGAGAGACGGCCCAGUCUGCUACGGGAGGCAGCGGUGGGGAGUAUUGCACAGUGGGCGGAAGCCUGAUGCAGCGACGCCGGGUGCGGGAUGACGGCCUUCGGGUUGUAAACCGCUUUCGCCUGUGACGAAGCGUGAGUGACGGUAAUGGAUAAAGAAGCACCGGCUAACUACGUG
RNAcentral lists this ribosomal RNA (468 nucleotides) under uncultured bacterium. Its description in RNAcentral is "partial 16S ribosomal RNA". It matches the Rfam family "Bacterial small subunit ribosomal RNA", at positions 28 to 507 of the family's 1533-position model. The record is from RNAcentral.